UUGAAGCUGCGUUGUACGUAUAAUAUUAAGUUUUAACCUUUAAGCUGUAACAGGGAGUUUUAGAUCAAAGAUGGAAUGGCGGGCAUCACACCGAGGUGAAUGAUGAUGAACAGGAAAUCUUUUGCGAACACCCACUUUGAGGAGUGGUGGUUAAAAACUUUCUAUAAUCAAUACGGCAAGGCGGCUCCUAA
Molecule: non-coding RNA, 191 nt
Rfam family: 6S / SsrS RNA
About the family: E. coli 6S RNA was the first non coding RNA to be sequenced, but its function was unknown until recently. It consists of 184 nucleotides that fold into an extended hairpin structure with a large single-stranded internal bulge.
Source: Rfam